RNAcentral lists this unclassified non-coding RNA (160 nucleotides) under Actinia tenebrosa (Australian red waratah sea anemone). Its description in RNAcentral is "cD59 glycoprotein-like, transcript variant X2". The record is from RNAcentral. Lineage: Eukaryota; Metazoa; Cnidaria; Anthozoa; Actiniaria; Actiniidae.
GUCUUUCUUGGCAAGCAUCCAACCGGAGUACAACUCGUUUCGAUCCUCUAAUUACCCUCGUUCAGAACUAAACAAAGAUGAAGCUCCUUAUUGUAACACUUUGCGUUCUUGCUCUUCUUAUCCCUUCUGCUCUAUCCCUCAAGUGUUAUGUGUGCGCUAA